Triticum dicoccoides is the source of this 2440-nucleotide long non-coding RNA. RefSeq lists it as uncharacterized. Lineage: Eukaryota; Viridiplantae; Streptophyta; Magnoliopsida; Poales; Poaceae. The record is from RefSeq and is a predicted model, not a curated record. The transcript is spliced from 7 exons.
GCCGCCCCUAGCCUCGUCCCCCUCGCGCCUCCACCCCCUAGCCUCGCCUUCUCCUCCUCCCGUCCUCUCCUCCGCCGCUCGGUCGCCGUGCCCGUGCUGCUCAACCCCCGCUGCCCCAUCGGCUGCUCCGCCGCCGUUCAUGGCAUCCGGGAGGCACGCGGCCGCGCCCCCUCCCGUCAUGCCGUCAAGGGUAUGAGGCAGGGGUGGCGGCGCGAGGUUUGCCCUCCGCCACCUCACGGCCUCUCGCACCGCCACCUUCUCUCCCGGGCCUCCUCCCCAGCGCUCGAGGCGCAGCAGCGUGGACGCCGCCACGUUCUUGAUCCAGUCGGAUCUGGCGCAGGUCGCCGUCAUCCGGCGCCGCACGGCAUGAUUCCAGAUCGGGCGAGGUCGCCGCCAGGAGAGCAGGAGCGGCUGCUGCAGCGAGUGCAGCGGAGGAGCCCAUCCUGGUCAAGCCCCACCCCGGCGGCUGCGUGUAGAGGAGGAGAGGUCGAGGAUGGCCCCAGUUCGUGGAGGUGAGUUCGUUCUUUCUGACCUGGUCUCAUCCACUAAUUCAUGGCUUCCUUUUUUUGUUUUUAUAUGCUGCAGAUAGGGUUAGCAAGGAGGAGGUUUUCCCUGCGAAGAGGCAGCGUGAGGCUGCACCGGCGCCUACCCAUCUAUGCAUGUACAGAGAAUGGAUGAUGUCAAGUGGGUAAGGACGCCGUCAGUACGUGAUAAGAUUAGGUGCUGGACUUCUGGGUACCACGUCCACCCCAUGCCCAAAUCACACAGGUUGCAGUCACAAGGAUGAUCUGGCCGACCAUGUCAGCAAAGCCAACGCAACAGAGUUGAAGGAAAUAUUACGACAUGAACAUGGUGUGAUGACCCGUGUGCAACCUCAACAAGUGUGAAGGUGCUGCUAAGUUAGAGGAUUGAUUAGAAAGUUGAGUCGUUGCUUUUCUACUUCAAACUGAUGGAUUUAUCUUCAGCCAAAAAAAAGCAGGCUUGGUUAGCUUCAAGAAGAAAAUAUUUCAAAACCGUGUACCUAUUGAAAUGGCAUGGAAGACAGAGAUGGUAGCAGCCUGCAUCCUCAAAUUGGAGUUGCCUCUUGGGGAGUAUCAGGUUGCUGAAAUGACGACCAGGGUGGAUGCCCAUAGUUACAGAAAUAUCUACCUGGGAGGAGGCGCCGAAAUUGUAAGUGCAUGCUUACAGAGUUCUAUCAUGCACAAUCAUGUAUGCACACCGGUCUAUCCAAAAGAUUAGCUCGCGACCCUCUCCGCCCGCACCGCCGGCUCCCCGGGAGGCCGCAUCCGGCCUGCCACAAGUACACCUAUGUCGCCGCCUCCCCGGGGGCCACAAUUGGAAGUGGAUGACCAAGGAGAAGGCACGCGGCGGGGGCCAGGUGAUCAAGUGGGAGGCGGAGCUCGCCUCCCCCAAUGGCGACGACUUCAACCUCAAGUGGAAGUGGGAGGCCAAGUCCAAGCCUGGUGCUGCCGGCAAGGCCAAAACCAAGUGGGGCACCCAGGAAGCCAACAAAGAUGACAAGAAGAAGCCGACGAUGAAGUGCGUCCAGAGCAAGGAGAUCCCCGCUGGCUGCGACAUCCAGAUCGAGUUUGUUCUGUAGACACACAACAACUGCAACAUCCAUGAACUCCGGUGGAAUCCUCAACCAAGGUUCGCCAGUACCUGAGUCGUUUGCCUUGUCUCAAAAGAGGUUAUAUAAGCUACAUAUUUGUGUGUGCAUUUUCACUUCUCCUUUACCAGCCACAACUUUGCUUUAUAGUGCGCAACUAUCUGACGAGGGUUAAGUAACUGAGAAACUAAGCUUUGGGAGAUCCAAAAUCGUUUUAGAUGGUACAUCAUGAGAAUGAAAUUCAUGUUUUCCACCUUGAGGUUGUUACACGCGUACUGAUUUUUCUCUUUGUUGAGAAAAUAAAUUGUUUUGUCUUCCUAUGCAUAAAAAAAUAGUGAAUCUGAUGCUCCAUCAAGGUGGGCUGAAAGGAUUGAAAUUACUCAACUUAUUUUUUUGUUAUAUCUGAUUAUAGAUAUUUUAUAUAGUAUCAUAUACUGUUAAUAAACAAUUUUGCUUUUUGCUUGACAUUGAUGUGGUGGUGAUUUGCUUUAUAGGUUAAAUUAUCUUACCGCCAUAAUGGUUUACCGAAUAAAGAUUUGUUUUGUCAUGUUUUUAUACCAUGUCUUCAGGAUUUUUCAGUUCUCUUGCCAUACAUAACAUGUCACAGUCCUUCAGGUUUUUGGGCUGUUCUUCUGCCAUUCCAUCUAUAUGUGUGUGUGUGUGUGUGUGUGUGUGUGUUCAUGUGACAUUUUUUGUGACAUGCUCAAAGUGAUGUAAUUAACCAGACCAUUACUGUUAUUAGUGCUUAGUUCCUCCUAUAUCUUUCUUUGAGAAAUUCUAAUGAUGUGGUCUAUAUUUCCUUCAAUCUGUGGAAUAUAUAUUGUGUAACCA